This 4337-nucleotide long non-coding RNA is filed under the name Homo sapiens (human). Its description in RNAcentral is "HSALNT0305193". Lineage: Eukaryota; Metazoa; Chordata; Mammalia; Primates; Hominidae. The record is from RNAcentral.
CUUUCCAAAACACACUUCCAAGUCCUCUCCAGCUUUUCAUUUUCUUGGGGCCUAAUUUUUCCUUUUUAAAUUUUCUCCAGUCAGAGAGGGCACCUAAUUCCUUUAUUUCCCUUUACUCUUGUGUACUGGCUGGUUGUCCUCCAUUCUCUUUGUUUACAUCCAUCGCUGCCUCCUUUCUUCCCAGUCUUUCCGGCUCUGGGUUUGCAUCCCUGCCCUCAGUGUCUCCCAGUUUCCUUGCUUUCUUUUAUUUCCCUCCUGAUUGCUGCCUCCCCAGUUCUUACCAGCUCUCUGUCCCAGUCCUUUCCUGUCAAAGAUGGCAGACUCCUCCAAUGCCACCGCUCCCCUACCCAUCUGCCCGGAGUCUUCCCUUCUCUCUCCCUCCCUGCUGGCUCUUUUGGCCAUCCCCCUUCCCUGCAUAAUCUUUAUUGCUUGCAUGACUGCUCAGGUUCUUUAUCCCAUCUUCCCCUCAAAGGCAUUCGCAGCUCCGCUGUUAUUCUUGUAUUAGCAUUGAACCCAUUAAAGCUAAUUUGUUUGCCCUAAUCUCCAUUUAUUUUUCCCUAGUUGAUAUUAGAUUUCCCUUUCUAUUGCUCCAGCAUGAUUUUCUCUUUGUCUUCCUAAUGGUCUACCCCCCUCUCUCUUCCUCUAUUAAUCUGGUUGGCUUCACUGUGUGGUUUCAAGGCCUUUCUCCGCCUCCCCCAGCCCUUAGAUUAACCCUGUCACCUCCCUCCCAAGAAGGGCUUCAGUGUGUGGAUUUUUAGGGAUGGAGCUGCUUCAAAUGUCAAUAGACCUCUAAGCUCCUUAAGAAAAGUACUACUUGACAUGAGGCCCUGCCUUUUCCUGGAGCCAAGCUGGAGACCUUGGGAGCACAGGGGCCAGAGAGCUUGAGGCAAGUGAGACACACAUGGGCUGCUCUGAGCCUGAAGGUCACCAAGUCCAAGGGUUCCCUGGGUAGGGUUGCCUUUGGUGCUGUCUCAGAGAUUUCUGGAGGUCUCUUCACGCUGUCUUAGAUCCUAUAAAUUAUAUCAGCAAUAUAAGGUAUAUAAAGUAACAGCAGAUGAGCCACUUUCUCCCUCUGAGAUUGGGCACCAUUUCCCAAGCAGGGGACUCACUUCCUUUCCUUCCUGCAGGAGUGAUGCUUCCCCCUCUGUGAAUGUGGCUUUGGGUAUGGCUAAUCCACACCCUGCACUCUGGCCUUCAGAAGCCCAGGGAGAGAAGCCUCCCAGAAGCAACCUUCCAGAACCUUCUCCAUCCUCCCACCGACCUCCCCAGCCCCUGUCCUCUCUUUGAAUCUCGUUGUCAAGUUCUUCCCGCAGACACCUGGCUCCUUGAGGGGAGGUGCAGCUUUCAUCUGACCAUGCAGGCGUGCUUUGCAGUGGGUAGAGCAGUGCUUUCCUCCUCCCAGCUGCACACUGGAAUCACCUGGAGAGUCCAGAAACUUCCCGCCUCAGUGAAAGAACAUCAGUGUAUCAGCACAGCAAAUAUUCCAAAUGCCAGGCUGGAUUCCCUCCAAUUACCAGGACCUCCAGGCUUCUCCUCCUUUCAAGAACUUUCUGACCCUGGAUCCAGUCUAAAUGUUGGUUAUAAACUCACCUGACAUCCACAGGGCCCUUCCAAAAUACUGUCAAGGCUGACUGCUGGUGCCUGGAACCUGCACACCCUCCUGGGACUCUGCAUCUCUGCUGGGGCUGGUUUCUCCUCUGAGCCACCUUAAGGAAUCCCACCCUGACCCGGUCAGAGCUCACCAUGCCUCCCUCUCCUACUUGCUCAGCAUUUUGUGUCUAUCUAGACUGAAGCCUUUGCUUUCUCUCUGUGAUUAUGGUGAAAGUUCAGUUUGCUUUCCUAUCUCUAGAAUGUCAGCACGAAGGCAGAGGCAUGGUCUCCUGAGUUCCAUAACCCCAAAGCCUAACUCCCUGCCUGCCACACUGAGGGGCUUAGUAGACAUUGACUUACUAAAUUGAAUAGUUGAGUAAUAAUGCUCUUUGAAAUAAUUUGGAGUUAGAUCUUGAGCCUUGUGUGGCCAGAGGAUGGGUGAGGACACAUCAUAAAAACUAAAGGUAACUGAGCAUGCCAGUGGUUGGGGUGAGAAAUUUGCAUGGAGCACUCCAGACACAGAGGCAGCAAAACCCAAGUGCUGGGAAGUCAGAGUGAGAGAGUGAAGGGGCAGUGAGUGCUUCUUUAGGAGCUGGAUCAAAACCUAAGAUGAUCUGGCCACAUGGUGCAGACUGAGCACACACUUGGGAGAGAAAUGGGCCAGGAGGAGAGGAGAGAGGUUCACCACAGGACAGUGGAUGACUGGGAAUAGAAGCCCUCCCCAUGGUGGACCAAGAAGUCUGUGAAGCUGAGAGAAAGACAAAAGAAAUCACGACUUCUGUAGGUAGCUGGGAUGGAAACCUCAGGGGUGACAGGGUCUUUAAAGGAAAUCUCAAGGAAGGCAUCAUGUUCUGGGUGUGCUCCAGGGAUGCUGAGUAAGAAAAGACCAGCCUUUCUGUGUGUGUCUUUACUCUGCCACAAGGCACCUGGGCUCCUAAAUGACCAAUACACAUGUGCUAUACUGGUGCCAAGAAAGAAGGGUGUUUUGUAGGAAAGUCAAGGUGAGAGGAGGUGCCCAGGACUUGGCUCCUUUCUUUGAAGGGUGACGGUGUAAAUUCUCCAUGCUGGGGAUCCUACUGAUGGAUGGAGGCAUGUCGAUCUCAUCAUUUCACAGAGUGGGGAGCUAUGGCCACAACGUGCCUAUCACACAAGUCCAGCCUCACGUCAGCUGGACACCAGCUGUUCUGACACUUGUCAGCACAUGGGGCACCCGGAAGUUCAUGGUGUUCUGCAAAGAACGCCACAAAACAGUGAGCUCAACUUCUUGAAAGUCAUAAUGUGUUGCUAAGUCCGAUCCCAGAUCCUAAAAAUAAUAUGAGGUAGUGGCCAUUGAACAGAAAAAAUUUACAUCUUAAACUUGAAGAUAAGUACAAGUGUACCUUUUUCUACCACUGUUGUUCAGUUUUAUUAUAUUGACAAGCACCUCUGCCCACCCUGUGGGGUAAAACUGUUUGAAAGUGUUUAUGAAAGUUUUAUAUAAAUAUUGGUUGAUCAAAUGUACAAAAUAUGCAUGAUGGCACCAUAUUGUGUAUAAUAGUGACAAAUACAGUCUAUGUGGGUGGAGAAACAAGCUCGGUGUUGUGCAUGCGGCUGUGGUUUGUGUUCACACUUCUCCUUUAGAGUGUAGUAGACAGAACAUGCCUGAACUGCCUGGGGCUGAGGGGUCUCAGGCGCAGAGUGGCCCAGGAAUUCUGAGCAAGGACAGAAUGUUAGAGAGAAUAUCCUGAGCUGAGCAGAGAGGCCUGCCCAUGCUAGCUGGCAGCCACCUGCCUUCAGUGCUUCAUUCUUGGGGGACCUUGAGGCCAGUUCUUGAGUGGAUGAGUCCUGCCGCUACUGCUGCUGCCCACUUGGUAGCUCUGUCCUCAUCUGGGAAGAGCCACUGUGAACCCCAGAGACCUAGUGGUGCUAGGGGCUGAUGCAGGCAAAUGACUGGCUGCCCCUGGAUCUUAUGUGAAAACAAGAAUGCUGGACCAAAAGGUCUCUACAGGGCUCCAUGACUACCCAUGACCCGUAACUUCAGUGAGGAGCUAGUGGCCAGGAGGGGCUCAUGGUUGGACACUGGUAUUCCUCUACUCAGACCUUAAACCACAGGUUGCAAGAACAGGGAGGUCACAUGUCAGUGACCUCAUGCCUAAAUAGAUGCAUAGCACAGAGCAGAUUCCUGGAUAGCUUACACCCUACUUUCCCCAGUGCAUCGAUUAUGACUUCCUUUCUAGCAACUGUGAGUACAGCCGGGACUCAUCAAUCACACCUGUAACUUCCCAGCUGCAUUUCUCAGGGUCUCUGAAAGCAGGGCCUUCUCUGGUCUUUUUAAAUUACCCACAGACCUAGGACAGUCUUCUGCACAUACUUCUACAUUUUAAAGGCUUACUUUUAGUAUGUUUAUGUGUGUGAGAUGGGGAAUAUUGUAUUCAUGUGUGCAUGUAUAUGUCUGUGAGUACUGUGGUCUGUGUGUGUAACUGGGUAUGACUGUGUGUGUCAUAUGGAUACAGGGGACUAGAAUGAGGACAGCCAGGUGUCCAGGCUAUAAGAUCUAAGGAGGCACUUGCUCUCAGGGCCAACCCUGCCCUUGCGUGAGCCUGAGAGAGAGAGCCUCCUGGAAUUUUGCACCUUGAGUGCCUUCCUGCUUCACCCUAAUCCCCCCGGUUGUCUGUAUGUUUGGAUGUGAGUGUUGUACAUAUGCUGUGUAUGUGUGUGCAUGCAUGUGAGUGUGCAUGGGUGUGUGUCUGUAUGUCUCAGCAGCUGUC